This is a long non-coding RNA of Pan troglodytes (chimpanzee), 791 nucleotides long. RefSeq lists it as uncharacterized. Lineage: Eukaryota; Metazoa; Chordata; Mammalia; Primates; Hominidae. The record is from RefSeq and is a predicted model, not a curated record. The transcript has 4 exons.
GCGCAGGCGCUCUUUGGUGUUUACAGCGGCCGCGAAGCCCCGCGUUUGCGCGUGCGCUUCCCGCCCGGGACCGCCCAGAGGUCCCGGACUAGGGGCGGACUAGGGGCCGCUCUGCCUCCCGCCCCCUAGUGGUUGUGGCCGCUCUGUCACCACGGCUCCCGGGGCCUCUGUCGGCUCCACUUUGGUUGAGACGUCUCCACAGCCCAACAACGGCGGCGAUCUGAGGAGAGGCAGGAGAAAAUACGGCGCGCUCGGCAUCGUCCUUCUGACCGGGGACUCCAGCAUCUCAGUCAUCGCGUCACCAAGCCCCAGGGAAUAUGGAAAGACUACAUUUCUCAACCUUCCUAGUAGAUGUGAUGUCACCAGUCGGAAUUGGGCAGAAGAAUGUAUCACUUCAGUCCAAGGCAAUUAAGUGGUCAAACCGUAAGAGACUGGCAGCUUUCAUACUGUUGGAUGCAUGUUUUGGGAUGCCUCCCUCUCGGAAUCUAGCCACCAUGUUCUGAGAAACCUAAGCCAUGUGAAGGGGCCACAUGUAGGUGCUUUGGUUUGCAGCUCCGACCCUCUAGCCAAUAGAUGGCAUCUCCUGCCAGCCAAAUGAGUGAGCCAUCAACAGUAACCCGCCCAGCUGAGUCUUCAGCAACAGCAAUUUAUUUAUGGAUUACCUACUCAGUUGGUGCCAAGCCUGGUUCUAGAUGCUGAAGACAGAGCCUAGAUCAAGAUUGACUUGGUCCUGGCUUUCCUGAAGUUCCCAGCCUGGUAGAAGAGACAUAAUAAACAACUAGCAAACACAG